RNAcentral lists this ribosomal RNA (253 nucleotides) under uncultured bacterium. Its description in RNAcentral is "partial 16S ribosomal RNA". It matches the Rfam family "Bacterial small subunit ribosomal RNA", at positions 525 to 776 of the family's 1533-position model. The record is from RNAcentral.
ACGUAGGUGGCGAGCGUUAUCCGGAUUUAUUGGGUUUAAAGGGUGCGUAGGCGGCUUAAUAAGUCGGUGGUUAAAAGUAGCAGCUUAACUGUUUUACAUGCCAUCGAUACUGUUGAGCUUGAGAUAUUUGGAGGCAGCUAGAAUUUCCGGUGUAGCGGUGAAAUGCAUAGAUACCGGAAGGAAUACCAAUUGCGAAGGCAGGUUGCUACGAAUAAACUGACGCUGAUGCACGAAAGCGUGGGGAUCAAACAGG